This 241-nucleotide unclassified non-coding RNA is filed under the name uncultured fungus. Its description in RNAcentral is "sequence contains ITS2". The record is from RNAcentral. Lineage: Eukaryota; Fungi.
AACGCACAUUGCGCCCCUUGGUAUUCCGGGGGGCAUGCCUGUUCGAGCGUCAUUACAACCCUCAAGCUCGGCUUGGUCUUGGGCGUCACCGGCCCCCGGUGUGCCUUAAAAUCAGUGGCGGCGCCAUCUGGCUCUAAGCGUAGUACAUACUCCCGCUACAGAUGCCCGGUGGAUGCUGGCCAGCAACCCCCAACUUAUCAAGGUUGACCUCGGAUCAGGUAGGGAUACCCGCUGAACUUAA